Hemicordylus capensis (graceful crag lizard) is the source of this 7608-nucleotide long non-coding RNA. RefSeq lists it as uncharacterized. Lineage: Eukaryota; Metazoa; Chordata; Lepidosauria; Squamata; Cordylidae. The record is from RefSeq and is a predicted model, not a curated record. The transcript has 4 exons.
UUUAAUAGCGCUCUCAUGCUUUUGCUGUCAAGCAGGAGGAGAGAGAUCUUUGAGGAGGGGCAGGAGUGGUGAUGUGUGAAAGUAUCCAAUACUUUUCAGUUGUCCAUCAGCACAGAAAAGCUAAAUCACUUAGUUUUCUGAUCAGUUUCAGUACAGAGGCUAAAAUUAUUUUAAGGGCUGGGGCCAUAGUUCAGUGGAAGAGCAUCUGUUUACAUGCAGGAAGCCCCAGGCUCAAUCCCAGGCAUCUUUAAGUAGGGCUGGGAAAGACUCCUGCCUGGAAUUUUGGAGAAGCUGCUGCCAGUCAGUGUAGAAGGCAGUACUGAGCUAGAUGGACCAGUGGUCUGACUCUGUGUAAGGACAACUUUCUGUGUUCCUAUGAUUGCUUCUGUCUACCCCUUGAAUUCUCUCACCCACGCUUCUUGUUCUUGUUCUUUCUUUUCUGUUCUUGUCUGCCUUCCUCUGCAAAGAUCCACUUGCAGAAAUGUGCAGACAUACUAACUUGAAUGCCUGUGCUCUUUAAAACCCGUCUCUCUUUAGCCAACAAACUGCUGGCCAGUCAACUUUCUCACUGUUUUGGUUUUGAACCCUUUUCUGCCUAGGAACUGGCAAGGACACACACGCCCUCCACUGGCGCCCAAUCCACUCCCAGGAUGAUGAUGCCAUGUGUUUGUUGCUUGUCCUGAGCUAACCUCCCAGCUUCCACUGGAAGGGCUUUGUGCUGAUCUACCUUCCCCUGUUCAGUGUGAGAUGGUUGUUUCUGUCAGCUGUAUGCUGUUGACCAACUGAACAGCUCUAAGCCUAGGAUAUAAACGGUCAGCCUGUGACAGAUCAUAUUAUAUUUUACACAUGGCUUGUGCAUCCCAUGAGAAGGAAGGUUCAGGUUCUGCACUAGAUGGGAGAUUCUCCUAGCCAUCAGACUUUAGUUGUGGUAAUCAUAGUGGGUAUGGAACCUUUCUGUUCAUUUUGUUUUUUCAAAGUUCUCAAGCUUUGACACUGUGGGAGACCUCCCCAAAUUGAAAGAAUAUAUAGGACCUUCCCCAAGACCAUACAGAAGACAUUUCACCCAGCAAGGGAAAAAGUAACUUAAAUGCUUGCAAGACUGACACUUAUUUUUUGCAGGGCUGCACAGUUUUUGCCCUCCAGCUGUUUGACUACAGUUCCCAUCAUCCCCAGUCAUAGUGGCCAAUAGUCAGGGAUGAUGGAAGCUGUAGUCUAACAAGAGCUGGAGGGCCAAAGUUGCGCAGCCAUGCUGUACUGGAAUAGGACUGUGCCUAAUGGGAAUGUUAGACAAGGGGGCUGCCUUUGUUUCAGAAGAUCCAAGGAAAGGGAAGCGAUGGAGGAUCAUUGGCUCACAACGCAGGUUAGUGAACGGUUUCUAACAGGGGCUGCAUUUUUAAUUGAGCAUGGGAUGAAGCCCCGGAGAUGUUGAUUCUGCAUACUGACUUAUUCCUACGAGAGUAUAGAGACAGGCAAAGAGUUCCAUAACAUCUUCCCUGUAUAAGUAGCAACAGACACUUUGGCAAUGCCCUUCUCCUUCUGUGAAGCUAACUCGGCUGCUCAGUCCCAGUUGCCUUGUUUUGGCUUGCACAGAGUGAACAUGUGAUGUUCAUAAUGCAAGAACUCUGCCAACGCCUCUGUUUCUCAGAAAGGAAAUUAAAAUGUCCAUUGCUUGUGUUUUGGAUAGAGAGAAAGCAAUGGAGGCACAUAAUAAGGGAGUAGCACUUGGGACCUUGGACCAGAUGGGAGUCAGGCUGAAUCCUUGGACUGCCAGUUGCUUAUCUCCAGCCUACGGCAUACUUCAAGAAGUCUUGUGGUGGUUGUACUGGAGACUCGUGGAAGGGGAAAGACUACAGAACAUCCCAUUAUGCACUCUACCACAUCUCCAAAAUUAGCACAAAGUGGAAAAUGCUAUCCUACUAUAUUGUGCUGUUAGUAUGUUGGGAUGGCUGACUGUUCUGCCUUCUGAAUCAAAUUGGUGUUGGAUCACAGAGAUGUGUGUUCCAUCACCCCUUUGUCAGUUGCCCAUGCUUCCAUACAGAGGCUCAAGCAUUGCUAUGCAAGCCUAGAAAUGUCUAUACACUUGUAUGUGAGUUUGUGUGAAUGGCUGUACAUGUGUUUGUUUAAAAGGUGAACCUGGGUACAGGCCCCUCAAAUGCAUGAUGUCAGACUGGUUCGCUUGAUCACCGACCCAACCCGUGAAGAGGAUGUCGAUGCUCCAUGAGAGUGCCCACCCUGAUGUCAUCUGAAGGACGUCCUGAAGAGCUGUUGGGAGAUCCUUCAAUCAUAUGUGGGGGCUGCUCAUCCAGACAACCCUUGGAGUGCAUGUCUAGGGGCUGUUUGGAUGAACACCCCCCACAUGUGAUUGAAGGAUGUCCCAACAGUGUAUAUCUACCUGUGUAAAAUUUAAUGUGUGAAUAACUACUGUGUACAGAUCUAUACCUGUGUACAUCAUACAGUUGUAUAAGCAUUGAACAUAACAUGUCUUCACUCACAUCUUAUGGGGAGGUACUCCAGAGCAGUGGGAAAUCCCGCUGCUUCUGAGUGCCUCCAAAGCUCAUCACAUCAAAAACAAGACCCUUUCCCUCCCCUGAUUUGAGGAAAGGUCAGGGUCAGUGACACCCACAAAUUCUGGCUAGCUACUAAGGCCAGCCAGAAUUUGUGUGCUGCCACUCUGGCUGCACUCAUUUCAUGGGCUGAGUAUUUAUUUUCCCUUGAUCCUAUGCAUUAAAGUUUGAAUAAAAGAUAAGCACCAGCAGACCAUGGCUUGGAGAUGAAACAAACGUUGACUAUUCAGGCAAUUAGGGAUGUGCAUGAACCUGUUUGGAGGCCCUUUUAUGGGCACCUGAACAGGUUUGAACACUGACUGGCUCGAAGUUUCGACAGCGUGUGUGUGUGUGCCUUCCUGCCUUUAAGGGUGGGGGAGGAUGUACUUAUGCACCACGACCACCACCACCACCACAUUCCCCCCGCCAGCACUCAAUUUCCUAAAAGUCCAUUGGGGUUGCAGUGUGCUGCCCAGUUGCCCCCUUUACCGGAUGUAGCCAGAAGUAUUCAACACGCCUGCGCACGUCAUGCACGCACGCAUGCAUGCAUGCAUGCAUGUUGCGUGUAUGUACCAGGCACACACAGGCACAUUGAGUACUUCUGGUUACAUCCAGUAAAGGGGGCAACAGGGCAGCAGGGAGUUACGCUGCCGCCCUGACAGACUUUUAGGAAUCACGCGCUGGUGGAGGAAACACAGCAUGCAGGGGGAGGGGUAAGUGCAUCCUCCCCCACCCUUAAAGGCGUGAGCGCACACUUACUCACUCACUCACUGACUGUCGAACCAGCCCCCGCUGGUUCCGUGCACAUCCCUACAAGCAAUUAGACCAGAGGUCUUCAAACUUUGAUUCAUAUAUGUUGUUAGACUACAACUCCCAUCAUCCCCAGCCCCAAUUGCCAGAGUCCUCAGUUUAGUCAUAAUUAGCCUACAAAUGGUUUUCCCUGCUUUUGGACCCUGCACAGACUGUCACAUCUUCCUAAGAAGGCUGCAGUCUGAAAUUUGACACUGAUAGAUUAUUCAGGUAUUUAUGUUUUAAAAUCAGCUUUUGGCAUUGUGGUAAACUGCAUAUUGAGGAUAAUAUUUGAGUCUUUGGAUGAGGUGGUAGAUUUAGGCUCCUCUGGAAUUUCCCACAAAACAAAAACAAUAUUGUUUUUCUAUUCCUGCACAUUGAACUGCAUAUAUGUUUACUCCUAUUUUUGAUUUGAAAGCAAUAAUCAAUUAAUGGUUGUGCACAUUAAAAUCUCAGUUCUUACUUAUAUGUGCCUGUGUGUGCAUGCACAGGGGGAAAUGAGUCUUUGUCUAUGGCUUGGCAGCAAGAGCUCUUAUAGUAGAUAGUGUGCCAAAUGUAGACCAGGAAGACCUGGUUGCAAAUACCUGCUCCCAUGUGAAGCCCAUUGAAGUCACACACUUUUCUUAUGGCAUAGUCUGCUUUAUAGAAUAGUUGUAAGGAUAACAAGGGAAGCCACCUGCGUCACUCUGGGUGCCUUGGAGGAAGAGUAUGUUUGAUUAUAAUAGAGAAAAAUGUAAAGGUGAGGAGACUAGUGAUGUCAUAAAGAGACAAAGGUAAGAGACUGGAAGACCAGUAAAGCACAGAUAGGAUCCAUUUGUGAAAGCUCUGAGCCUGCGCAGAUCUAAGGUGAGAUGUAAGUAGAGUUGCCAUGCCCCCCGGAAUUCCUGGUUUCACCCAGAUUUCAGGUAUCUCACCCAGAUUGCUUAGGCCACACGGAUUUGCCUGGAUGUCAGCUUUAUUUCUUUUCUUUUCUUUUUUAAAGCUAAGCUCUAGCCCUUGUAGAAGUGGAGUUAUGGAGCAAAAUGUGCAGUCACUAUUCUGCUCAACUGCUGGACUUGGAUUAAGAGAGGAAGAGCACAGGUUGCUAGCUGGAAGGGUUUCACUUUUACAAGUACAGUAAUCCACUGAGGAAUGUUGCCUUGUUUGCUAUCAGCAGGGGAUCUCUUUCAGGCAGUUGAGAGGAUAGCUUGCUUUUGAUGUGAAUCACUACCUACCUGCCAGGCUGUGUACUGUAAUGUUUUAGGACUUCCUUGGCUUUACGUUCAAUGCAUGCCUACUUAGAAGUAAGCACAGUUGGUUUCAAUCAGAUCUUCUCUCAAAUAAGUGUGUUCAGAAUUGCAGGCUUAAUUAAAAAGCUGUGCUUUAUUGUUGUUCUAUUGCUGCUGUUAAUUUGUCAAGGAAAAUGAUAAGGCAAAGAUAUCUUCCCCAACUAUUGUUGGUAGAUAUCUAGAGCAAAUACAAAUCAGCUGGAAAGUUCAGCUACUAAUUUGCAUAUGCAAAUUUAUUUUCAAGACAAUUUACAUAAUGUGGCCAGAUUUGGAAAGCCAGAAUAUGGCAACCCUAAAUGUAAGUCAGCCUGGACAGAAAGGUAACCGGAUGUGCAAGACUGAAGGGGCAUUUCCUCUUUUAUUUAGAAUGCCAAGGAUUGCCAUAGCUAUGGAUAUGUAGACUCAUCCCAGUAGCCUAAUUUCCUUUUGGAAGUCCUGGUGGAUUGGAUUUUGCUCAUCUCAGUGUCUAUCUGAUUGCCUUAUUUUGGACCAACAAGGAAACUGCCCCCACCCCUGGUCAAAAUGACCACAAGAGCUGAAGUGCUUUCUUGUUAAAAGUGUACAAUGAAACAAAGCUGAACAUAUGGACUGCUACUUCCACGAUAGCUGAGGUAUCAGAAUGUAUCCAGGAAGAGGAUUCUCCACCACACAUAAAGAGCUCAACACUGAAGCAUGAGGUUAAUGUUUCCUGCCGUGAAAAUCUAUCAGUGUAACUGAACUUGGAGCUAUCAUGGACAGGAUAGAACUGGUACAUAUGCACGCAGCCAAAAGGUCAAAGAACUGAAAACAAUACUACCAGGAACAGCUUACAUUACAAGAUUACAGCACAAGCAGAAGAGACCCAUAAGACACUUGCUUAGUGAGCACUUCAUCAAGCUGCUAAAACAGAUAGUGACUUUAGACCUUUCUCUCUAUAUAUUUUUAAGGACAUGUAAUAUACUGGAUGAUAUACACACACCUGCUAUUUAUCACUUACAAAUGACAAGAAAAAAGUCAGCUGUCUUCUGCCUCAAAUCCUCCUCUUUUAUGAGGCUGAAAAGGUAGGAAUUGGUGGAGGCUCUGUAAAAGCACCUGUUUUGUGUGUCUGGUCUCAUGGCACUCUUAACUGUCUGUGGGCUGUUUUGGGAAUUGAGCUGAGAGAGAGAGAGAGAGAGAGAGAGAGAGAGAGAGAGAGAGAGAGUUCUGUAGUACUUUCCCCACCUAGAUUUCAAUGUGAUCUUUCCUUUGUUUGAAAUAGUUUCACAGUAAACUCAUCAAGUAUAUCUGUUUAUUAUAUAUGUAGGUAAUUUCUGCUAGCCACCUAAUGGUGCAGCAGGGAAAUGACUUGAUUAGCAAUGGUAAACUCUUCCUGUAUUCUACCAAAGAAAACCACAGGACUCUGUGGUCGUCCGGAGUUGACACCCACUCGACGGCACACUUUACCUUUAGGUUAUUCUAGGCUUGCCUUCACUGUGAAACUCCCAGGGUCAUGCACAACUGAUUUAAAAAAAUCCAUAAAGUAGCAUAAAAAUAAAGAUAAAGGGCCCAUUCAGAUGAUAUGUUCACAUAGGCCUGUCCUAAAUAUGGCCAUUUAUUCAUUUGGGGGAAACUAAGCACAUUUUGGGACAUGAUGCAGUGGUGGCAAAACCUGCCCACCACUCUUAGCUCUGGGUGGCUUGGUCACCACUGUCAAUAUUCCCUCCCCCUUUCCCACCUCCAGGCAGCUCCAGGGCUGAACAGAGGACAAUAGCAUGUUGUUUAUGCUUCCCUCCAUUUUCCCAAAUAGAAAUUGGGUUCAGGACUAGCAGCAGCUCUCCAAGGAUUCAGACAGGAGUCUUUCCCAGCCCUUUCUGGAUAUGCCAAGGAUUGAACCCGUGACCUUCUGCAUGCAAAGUAGAUGCUCUACCUCUGAGCUACAGCCCCAUAAUGUGUAUGUUGAGUUGUUAGCUCAUGCAUAUGUCUGACAUGGCCAACAACUCCUAAGGCUUUCUGGAACUGCAAUGAAACCCUUCAGAUUCUACAGAGUUCUUUAGGGUAUUUCAGCACGAUUCCAGAACUCAAAUGCAUUUUUGUUCUACUGGACAUUUUGUGUCUUCCAGAAGAUCCAAGGGUCUGUAGUAGAACACAUUGGGCCCACUCACACAACCAUUUGGAGGUGGGUAGGAGCCAAGGCAAACUGUUAUCCUGUAAGCAGCAAACCCAUUAGGGCUCCGCAAACCCAUUAGGCACACGGCCAAUGCUGUCAAUGGUUCUACUGCUGAAAUUGGCACCUCCAAGCCCCAAACCUCCAUAGAAUGUCCUCCAAGGGCUUGGAUACAUUCCCAGCAUCUUCUGCUCUGCAAGUAGACUGGAAAAAGCUUCAAGAUGUCAGCGACUGCCUUCCCAUUGGCCACAAAGGAACAGGAGGUAAAUAUAGUCCUGCCAAAGCUGCUCUGGCUCAGAGUAUGCUUUGAAGGCUAGCACAUCCAUGGAUGGGUGGCCACUGUAGGCACAGCUCUCGAUGGUUUCUAUGUGGGUGAGGGUGUCCUGAAUGCUGGUAGCCUGGGUAGAAGCAAUGCAAGGGUUCUCACAAGUUACGAAAUGAUCAGGGUGGGAGGGCUCUGCUCUCCUCCACCUUCGGCAAAAAGUUGGGUACAGAAGCUGGGUAGCCCUGCCAUGAGCAACCUAGGCUGAAAGAGAAUGUGUGAGUUCUGAAGAUCAUGCAAAUCUGGGUAGCCCACUCUCUACCCUGACUUUAACAGUCAUGAGAAUCAGCCUACUGAUUCAUAUGGUUUUGCAGAAAUUUGCCUUUGAAGGGUGGGAUGUUUUGCCUCCUUUUUCAAUGGACAUUUCAAUCUUGUUCAGACAUUCUUCUGCUUUUGGACAUUGUCUACCUGAAUACAGGAUCCAUGAGAGUGCAACAGUAAGUCUGUGUCAAUGUGCUUUUUAACUUUCCAUGAACAUUGCAUUUGUCACUCAUGGAGAGAUUUUUUAUGUACAGCACCACCACUUUAAUAAAGCCUGAACAGAGCUUCUGUUUGCACACCUCA